Molecule: non-coding RNA, 1292 nt
Organism: Podarcis lilfordi (Lilford's wall lizard)
Lineage: Eukaryota; Metazoa; Chordata; Lepidosauria; Squamata; Lacertidae
Source: the annotation of a GenBank genome assembly
CUGAAUGGGGACUACUUCACCUUCCUUGAGCAAGGUGUGCGCCAACAUCUGAUCAGCUGCUGGACAUUGGAAAGCAAGCCUUCCUUGAGCAAAGGAAUAAUCAGGAGCCUGCUUUAAUCUUGUAAUAGUUCCUUUGAAACUGCACCCUUAUCUGCCCCAUAACUUAUGCAAAUAUCAUGUGUAUGGUGGAUGGGUGCAGCUUUCCCUGAAAUGGUUUGAAGAUCCCAAUGGGGGCACCUGGAACACCAUAUUUGGCCCAUAUGUCAGAGAUUCCCCAUCCGUGUUCUAAAGGAAAAAGGUGACUACUACCCCACAUGCACCCUAAGAGCAUGGAAAAUACCUGGAGAAAAGUUUGCUCAAUGUUCUCCAUUUUCUGGGCAUGUGUGUGAGAGAAAAGGUGCAUUUUUUUGUUUGUUUUUUAAUAACCUUCUUGUCAUAUGACCCAAUUUUGUAUUUCUGUUUCUUUAACCUACCUCACAUAGUUGUUGUGAGGGUGGAAUGGGUAGUGGGGAGAACCAUGCACAGCACCUUGUGCUCCUUGGAGGUAAGGUGAAAUUUAACCCAUCCAGUGCAUUUUCUGGGAGUAUGCAGUGGUACGCAUACCGCUAAACAUUUUGUGAAUCUAAGUUUGGCCUCGUUGAGGGGCAGUAUUUCAAUAUGAGUAGGAAAAUGAGAGUACCCCUAAACAUUUUUUUUAAGAAAAAAGCACUGACCACAUCACCCUACAACUUGCCCUCAUUCCCCAGGCAAUUUGUAGAAGAACAAAUCAAACCAAUGACAGUUCAACAAAGGAAGAGCAGGAUGGAUCAACAAGUUGCUUCAUUCUCAGAGUGUGAAUUUUCUCUUCUUCAGACAGUCUUUGAAGGCCUCCUUGACCUUCUCAUUCCUUAGACUAUAAAUAAAAGGAUUCAGUAAAGGAGUAACUACCCCAGUAAGGACAGCAAGGCCCAUCUGGACAUCUUGGGAGUAUCCCUGGCUGGGUAAAGCAUACAUGAUAAUUGAGCUGCCAUAAAAAAUGGAGGCUACAGUGAUGUGAGAUGCACAGGUGGAAAAAGUCUUUUGCCAACCUUUGGUGGAAUGCAUGCGCAAGAUGGUGCCAAUGAUGUAGACGUAAGAGAGAAGAGUGACAAACAAAGAGCCCAGGAGCAUAACUGAGCACAAGAUAUUCUCCAGAGCCAGGAGGGCCUGCACAUCACUGCAAGAAAGCUUUACAACUGGGGUGUAGUCACAGAAGAAAUUGUCAAUAAUAUUAGAGCCACAGAAGGAUAGUGUGUAGAGUAAAAUGAUUGGGG